AUGUCCACAUAAAUUUGUCCAUUAGACAAUGACCAUGAAAAAUAAAAGAUCUCAUAUCCAUGUUCACAUAAAGAUGUCAAAUACAUUACACAAUGUUUCAGCCACUGUCGUCCAUUCCCUUUGGAACUAUUGGUCACUACGAAAUGGAGAACAAAUUUCACCAUAGAAGAACAAAAAACUUUCACAUAAAGAACCAUGAACCAUUUUUCCUUCAUCAACGCUGCUCCUUUAUCAACGCCGCGUCGAUGGCCUUCGUAGUAGAAAGAGCACUAAAUCUAUACUUGAUCAGUAACACAAAUUCAAAUCUCGGUAUGUACACAAGGAAGAGAACAAUUCAAGUAUCCAAAAAUAUUAAAAUCAAAGAAAUUUUCAACACAUGGGUUCAUGAACAAAACAUAUACGUGGGUCAAACAAAAUAUGUUCUUUAAAUUUGAAUCUCAUUACACACUCAGUUUCGUUCUUUCAAAUCAAACAAGUAAAACUUUUAGUUAUAAUAAAAAAAUUCUUAGCUAUCUAGUUUAAACCCUAACAAAAGGAUUGACUAAAAAAUUCAAACACGAAACAAUGCAAUUCAUCCAAAACAGAAGAACACCUCCAUUAAUGGGAUCUUCUAAUCAACCUACAAAGAACAUAUAUUGUUUUGAGAAAUCAAAAUCUAAGCAAAAUCAAUUUAAACAUAGAUUCAAAAUAUUUAAGAAAAAGAGAUUGAGUAGAAAAAUCGGAACCUAACCUCCAAAAUUCUUCAACAAUCGGUUUGAAGGCUCUUUUCGUUGCCCCUCUCUCUGUCGCUAUCUCUUUUACAGAGGUAAAAGCUAUA
Molecule: long non-coding RNA, 817 nt
Filed under: Arabidopsis lyrata
Lineage: Eukaryota; Viridiplantae; Streptophyta; Magnoliopsida; Brassicales; Brassicaceae
Description: long non-coding RNA (ALYR_LNC002461)
Source: RNAcentral